RNAcentral lists this ribosomal RNA (253 nucleotides) under uncultured bacterium. RNAcentral's name for it is "partial 16S ribosomal RNA". It matches the Rfam family "Bacterial small subunit ribosomal RNA", at positions 524 to 776 of the family's 1533-position model. The record is from RNAcentral.
UACGGGGGGGGCAAGCGUUGUUCGGAAUUACUGGGCGUAAAGGGCGCGCAGGCGGCCCGGAAAGUCGGAUGUGAAAACUCGAGGCUCAACCUCGAGCGUGCACCCGAUACUGCCGGGCUUGAGGCAGGUAGGGGAGAUCGGAAUUCCUGGUGUAGCGGUGAAAUGCGCAGAUAUCAGGAGGAACACCGGUGGCGAAGGCGGAUCUCUGGGCCUGUCCUGACGCUGAGGCGCGAAAGCUAGGGGAGCGAACAGG